AAUCAACGCUGGCGGCGUGCCUAACACAUGCAAGUCGCACGAGAAAGGGACUUCGGUCCUGAGUAAAGUGGCGCACGGGUGAGUAACACGUGACUAAUCUACCCUCGAGUGGGGAAUAACCUAGGGAAACCUGGGCUAAUACCGCAUAACACUUACGAGUCAAAGCAGCAAUGCGCUUGGGGAGGAGGUCGCGGCAGAUUAGUUAGUUGGCGGGGUAAUGGCCCACCAAGACGANGAUCUGUAUCCGGCCUGAGAGGGCGCACGGACACACUGGAACUGAAACACGGUCCAGACUCCUACGGGAGGCAGCAGUGGGGAAUUUUGCGCAAUGGGGGAAACCCUGACGCAGCAACGCCGCGUGGAGGAUGAAGUCUCUUGGGACGUAAACUCCUUUCGACAGGGACGAUAAUGACGGUACCUGUAGAAGAAGCCCCCGGCUAACUUCGUGCCAGCCGCCGCCGUAAG
RNAcentral lists this ribosomal RNA (465 nucleotides) under uncultured bacterium. RNAcentral describes it as "bacterial SSU rRNA". It matches the Rfam family "Bacterial small subunit ribosomal RNA", at positions 32 to 524 of the family's 1533-position model. The record is from RNAcentral.